GGCUUAACACACGCAAGUCGAGGGGUAGAAGGCUUUCGGGCCUUUGAGACCGGCGCACGGGUGCGUAACGCGUAUGCAAUCUGCCUUACACUGAGGGAUAGCCCAGAGAAAUUUGGAUUAAUACCUCAUAGUAUAUUGAUGUGGCCUCACAUUAUUAUUAAAGAUUUAUCGGUGUAAGAUGAGCAUGCGUCCCAUUAGCUAGUUGGUGUGGUAACGGCAUACCAAGGCAAUGAUGGGUAGGGGUCCUGAGAGGGAGAUCCCCCACACUGGUACUGAGACACGGACCAGACUCCUACGGGAGGCAGCAGUGAGGAAUAUUGGACAAUGGGCGCAAGCCUGAUCCAGCCAUGCCGCGUGCAGGAUGACGGUCCUAUGGAUUGUAAACUGC
This 388-nucleotide ribosomal RNA is filed under the name uncultured organism. RNAcentral's name for it is "bacterial SSU rRNA". It matches the Rfam family "Bacterial small subunit ribosomal RNA", at positions 45 to 433 of the family's 1533-position model. The record is from RNAcentral.